GAGGCGGGAAGGACGACCCGAGGGAACCACCUACCGACCCAGCGGCGGGGGUUGUGGUGGAGGGGCUCCUGAGAGAGUGUGGAUUUAGAGGAGUCUUCGGGAAGCUGGGGCAGCUCAAGGAUUGCGUAUGCGAAAAGCUCUACACAGGACAACUCAGAAGAGACAUUUGCUGCCAUCGUAAUUCACUGUGGAAAUACUGCUGCCGCCGACGCAGCUGUCCCCUGCCCGCAGACGCCUUGCUUGUACCUGGCUUGAGACCUGUUCGGAGAUUGCUCCCUCCAGCUUUGGGAGGGCAGUGGGCUGGGUGAGCUCCAGGGUGUGGACCAAGCCUGAGCUCUGGUGACAGCUUGGUGUGGCAAGAAGAAGGGACCUGGCAAAGAGCGUCUCACUGGAAGGCCAAGUUUGAAAUGCCAUUUGUGAAACAAUUGCCAAUAGUCACCAUCUCUAUCCCCUUCCCCCCAAGCAUGAAUUUGGGAAGCUCAGCCUGGAUUCCCAGGAUGGAGAGGCUCAUGGGAUGAGUGUCUCCUCUAGCCCUGGGAAACUGACGACCCUCUGGAGCAGCUGGGCAUAAGCCCCUUUCCCAGUUCCUGAGCUGUCCAGAAAAAAAUGCUCAGGUUUUUCACGUCGUGGCGGAGUGGAAACGAAUCUGACUGGGGACCAUGGGGUUGUGGGUUUAAUCCCU
This is a long non-coding RNA of Phacochoerus africanus (Common warthog), 682 nucleotides long. RefSeq lists it as uncharacterized. The transcript has 3 exons. NCBI's taxonomy places the organism in Eukaryota, Metazoa, Chordata, Mammalia, Artiodactyla, Suidae. The record is from RefSeq and is a predicted model, not a curated record.